Molecule: ribosomal RNA, 250 nt
Filed under: uncultured bacterium
Lineage: Bacteria
Description: partial 16S ribosomal RNA
Rfam family: Bacterial small subunit ribosomal RNA
Source: RNAcentral
GACGAACCGUCCAAACGUUAUUCGGAAUUACUGGGCUUAAAGGGUGCGUAGGCGGCGUUACAAGUCGGGUGUGAAAUCCCUCAGCUUAACUGAGGAACUGCGCCCGAAACUGUAGUGCUAGAGGGAGACAGGGGUAAGCGGAACUGAUGGUGGAGCGGUGAAAUGUGUUGAUAUCAUCAGGAACACCGGUGGCGAAGGCGGCUUACUGGGUCUCUACUGACGCUGAGGCACGAAAGCUAGGGGAGCAAAC